CGAGUCGGCCGGGCGAUCGCGGUGGGUACGGCGGUUGCCGUGCUCUCCGAGGAAAGUCCGGACUCCACCGAGCAGGGUGGUGGGUAACACCCACCCGGGGUGACCCGCGGGAAAGUGCCACAGAAAGCAAACCGCCCCGAGCCGUACGCGGCACGGGGUAAGGGUGAAACGGCGGUGUAAGAGACCACCAGCAUCCCGGGUGACCGGGAUGGCUAGGCAAACCCCACCCGGAGCAAGAUCAAGAAGGAUGCCCCCGGGCAUCCGCGGGAGCGUUCGAGGGCUGCUCGUCCGAGGCUCCCGGGUAGAUCGCACCAGGCGGUCGGCAACGGCCGUCGCAGAUGGAUGAUCGUCACUCGGGCUCCGGCCCGAGACAGAAUCCGGCUUACAGGCCGGCUCGUCCC
RNAcentral lists this RNase P RNA (401 nucleotides) under Microlunatus phosphovorus NM-1. RNAcentral describes it as "Bacterial RNase P class A". It matches the Rfam family "Bacterial RNase P class A". Rfam says of the family: Ribonuclease P (RNase P) is a ubiquitous endoribonuclease, found in archaea, bacteria and eukarya as well as chloroplasts and mitochondria. Its best characterised activity is the generation of mature 5'-ends of tRNAs by cleaving the 5'-leader elements of precursor-tRNAs. Lineage: Bacteria; Bacillati; Actinomycetota; Actinomycetes; Propionibacteriales; Propionibacteriaceae. The record is from Rfam by way of RNAcentral.